Molecule: long non-coding RNA, 5118 nt
Filed under: Sus scrofa (pig)
Lineage: Eukaryota; Metazoa; Chordata; Mammalia; Artiodactyla; Suidae
Description: lncRNA (ENSSSCG00000057994.1)
Source: RNAcentral
GGACAGAGGCAUGGGAUAGUAAGGGGCACCUGGGAGCCUUUAUGUUCCCAGUAAUGUUUUAUUUCUUAAUGCUUAUGCAUUUUCAUUGUAUCAUUCUUCUCAAACUGUACCUAUAUAUUUCGUACUUCUUUGUAUGUAUAAUAUACGUCGCAAUUACCAAAAAUAAAAGAGAAUGUGCCAUUUCUUAUACUCUGAGUGCCAUGGGGCAGUUUGUUGCCAUUACUAGGAAUAAGUACUCAUAAUUCAUUAGAUUUCUAAAAUUAUACAUCAAAUAUCUUUAAAAUGCUAAUUGAUCACUUUUAAUUAGGUCUAUUACUGGUGACUCCUUUCUCAUCAGCCCUUUCUUACUUAUUGGCUCUGUUCAACCCAGGAGAUUCCAGAUUCCCUAGUCUCUUCACUUGCAUGGCAAGCAUCCUCUUCUCGGCUGCCUCCUCUCCAUGUCUGACUACUCUCUUUUUGCCCAUCCCUUCCACCUAACUGUUGGCCAGGCACCUCUCAGAGCUUCUGGUCCUCUCACUCUAAAAUCUCUCCUUGCAGUUCCUGUUGUGGCUCAGUGGCUUAAGAAGCCGACUAGUACCCAUGAGGAUGUGGGUUUGAUCCCUGGCCUCACUCAGCGGGUUAAGGAUCCAGCGUUGCUGUGAGCUGUGGUGUAGGUCACAGAUGUGGCUUAGAUCUGGUGUUGCUGUGGUUGUAGGUUGGCAGCUGCAGCUCCAAUUUGACCCCCAGCCUGGGAACUUCCGUAUGCUGCAGGUGCAGUCCUAAAAAACAAACAAACAAAAAAUAAAUAAAUAAAAUAAAAUCUCUCCUUGUAUGGACUUAUUGAUCCAAAGCAGCAACUCCCCUCUUUAUGCUGACCGCCCCUCAAACCCAUAUCUCAAGCCCAGAACUAGGGAAGUAUAACAUUUUAGGGUAAUACCUACUUUCUUCUCAUAGCUCUGUAGAAAUUGUCCACUGAACAAUUCAGAAGUUGUUCUGGGAGUUCCCGUCGUGGCACAGCUGAAACGAAUCUUACAAGGAACCAUGAGGUUGUGGGUUUGAUCCCUGGCCUUGCUCAGUGAGUUAAUGACCUGGUGUUGCCAUGAGCUGUGGUGUAGUUCACAGAUGCAGCUCUGAUCCUGUGUUGCUGUGGCUGUGGCUUAGGCCUGCAGACGUAGCUCUGAUUAGAAACUCAGUGUUGAGAGAGAUGUCUGAAGCCAACUUGCUUUUUGUUCCUUUGUGGGUAACAUUUUGAAACUGCAUGAUCGUUUAAGGAAUUUUUUUUCCUCCUUUUUUAUUUUUGUGAUUUAAAAAAAAAUGUUUUAGGAUAUAGUUAAUGUCCCUUUGAAUGUAUUUUUGCCUGGAAUUAGGAGAGCCCAUUGAGUUUCUUCACGGCAAAGCAAGAUUGUUCUAUGGAAUCUUUUGACUGUUACUUAUUUUCCCUGUGCUUGCUCUGGUCUGCCUCUCUGCCAAUGCAAACUGAUAGAAUGUGCUAACAGGGACUAGUAGGGGGUGUAUUUUGAAAUACUAAUUGAGGUUUUUCCAUUCCUAUACGUUUGGAUGUUGCCCUGUGGCUCUUUAACUGGUGGGUUGGUGACAUUUAAUGCCUGGAGGAGAGGAGUGUGGCUACAGCCUCAAACAGUCCAUUGAAUUUCUCAAUAGUUUUUAAGCACAGAGCAGAGACAAUAGCCGUGAAAGCCAAGCUAUUUCUUUUCUUUUAUUGUAAGAGCCAAGCACUUAGGAGGGAGAAAAGGUUUAUGUUGUGUUGCUCCUUUGGUUUAAUUCUAAGAGCUUAGCUCUGAAUAUGCGGGGCAGAGUCUAGAGGACUGAAAUGUAAAUGCUAAACUGUGGAUGAAUUGGAGCUCAACAAUUUCAUAAGCAGAUUUCCUUAAAAGGAGGGAUAAGAGCUCUUUCUAGGAUGGGGAGGAGGAGGCUGGGGAGGCAAAGUAAAGGACCACUUGGAUAUGAAUGUAGAAUUUUUGACCCUUUCGGAAGUGUUUAGGGAGGGGAGAGACCUGACAGCUGUGACAGACAUGCUUGGGGGUCCAGGAGGAGGGGGACCCCUGAGCCUGGGUUCCCAGAAAAGACAUGGGAAGCCGCCCUUAUCUGACCUGGUGCCUGGAGUUGGAGCAGCAGUGGGUGAGGGCCAUUUAAAGAGAGUCACCAGAAGGCAGGUAAUGCUUCCUUGACGUAGCAGGGUUCACAGAGAGGAACUGACCAUUUCGAAGAUCUUUGUAGAAUGGUUGGGAGGAGGACACAGGGGGUCCAAGGAUCAGCGUGGGGUCCGGCCAAGGAAGAAAACAGCAUGGGCACCUCUAUGGCAUAGAGGGCUUGGCAGAUGACACUGUGUGGCAGCAAUGACUGUAUGGGCUUCUCUCUCAGAGAGGUCAAGGGACAGAUGUUGACCCUGUCCUGGUGGCUGGAAGAUAUAUGAGCCUGCAGAAACUUACAACCCUCUGGAGAAGAGUGACAGGAGAGAAACCUAAAGGCUACACAGACAGACGUGACUGAAUUACCUUGAAAUGGCAAGGCUAUGUCUUCUUCCACUGACUCAAUAAUAGGGGUGGGUCAGUCUGGGCUUGGUUGGAGCCAGGCAACUUUUUUAGAGAUAAGAAAUAAUCUAUAGAAAUUAGAGCUUAUGUGACUGUUGGGAAGAGCCGUAUGGAAGGCUGUAACUGAAGCAUCAGAGAAAGAGUCAUUAACAGCAUCAGCUUGAAGCAGCAGAGAGAGUGGAGUAGCUUGAGUUCAUGGAAACUGUGAGAAGCCACGGCAUUGAUGUGUCAGGACCACCAAGCCAGAACCCAUGGAGAGCUCUUCAAAGGCAUCUGUCUGCAAAACAUCAAAAGCGGGUUUCUUAGAGGGUCAGCAGAGGUACCAAGCUUGGCGUGGCCACUGUGUUCCCCAGGAUAAAUGAGACUGCCAGACAACAUGCAGGAUGCCAGUUUAAAUUUGAAUUUCAGAUAAAUAAUGAAUAACAAUUUAGCAUCAGUAUAUUCCAAAUAACACAUAUAAGAAUGCAUGGGGAGGCGUUCCCACUGUGGCAAAGUGGGUUAAGAAUCCAACUGGAGUAGUGUGAGUUGCUGCAGAGACAUGGGUUCAAUCCCUGGCCUGGGAACGUCCAUAUGCAGGGAGUGCGAACAUUAAAAAAAAAAAAGUAUUAUAUGGAGAAAUGGGAUAUACCCAUACCCCAAAGGUAUUUAUCUGACAUUCAAAUCUAACUGGGAGCCUUGUAUUUUUAUUUGUGAAGUCUGGCAACCCUGCCCCUGCAAAAGAGCACCCCUUUCCUUUCCCCUCUUUACAAAUCUCAUGUGAAUUCCCUUCUGAGGCAAACUCUCAGAAAGAAGCAUAUAGUAAAAGAGAUUCUGACAAAGGUAGUUUUCUGCCUUGUGAUAAUGGUGGUGCCAGAUUGAUAACAAAGGAUUUGGAAUAAGAAAGCACGAGGCAGUUUUAAUUUAGGUUUAGGAAAACAACCACAGCGGCUCCCCCAGCAGAAAUGUGAUGAAUGGACGCUGGUUUUGUUUAUCUGUGCUUUCACCCUAGCACCCAUUCUCUCUAAUUCUAGUUCACCAUUUCUUCUUUGGGGAGCUCCCCCCACGCCCUGAACCACCUUCUAUCCUACUACUCCCAGUCCAGGUACUUUCGGUAGGGCUCAGUUCCCAACUCUAGGGCUGUAUUAUUCCACUCCCAAUCUGCAGUCACCGAUUUGGCCAUCAACAUGUGAUCCCAUCAGAACAGCAGUGUUCUGUUUUGGUUUUGUUUGGGGUAAAUAAGGGCUUUCUGUUUUCUCUUGGACCUAGACCUAGGAGGAUGGAGGGCAGGGCUAAUGGGGCCACCUUGGCCACAUGAGGGGAAGGGCCAUCUGAAAAUGGAGCCAAGACAAUGGACGUGGAGUGAGACAUGGAGAAAAGAAAGCAGUUCCCGACUGAGCCACAGCCCCGACCCUGAGCUCUUCAUUAGUGUGAGCGGAGAUAUCCCCUCCCCAGGAAGCCAGUUUGAAUUGUGUUUUUCUGCACUUCUUACCUGUGUGUCACAGCUGAUGCAACUGGCAGGGAAAGAAGCAUUUCUUCAAGAAAGAGAAGAGAGGAAGGUGUAUGUAUAUUGUUAAGGGGGAAGGGACCCAUCAGGGAGACACAUGUUGAGAGAAAGCACAGAAGGGACACUUCCUGGAACAAGUUCUAUAAGACACGCGAAGGGUGAACCUUCCGUUUCUUUGUUUGUCGUAUAAUGACUCCAGAUCACAGAUCUGGCUCUUGAUUUUCACCCCCGCUUUUGAAUUAAGGCAGCGAGCUGGAAAUUAAUAUGGGCAUAUUUCCCUGUAUUUAGCCAUCAUUCAAUGUAUAAUUCCCAGAAGGGUGAAAGAAAUACUUACUUAAUUAAACGUGCUAAACAAUCGCCAUCUUUACUUGCUGUUCACAUAUAUUUGUCUUACAAAGAUACACCGUGAAGAGUCGAUGGAGCUAUUUUUAAAAAAACGAGUUCCGCACACCACUUAAUUAUAAUAAUCUAUAGAGAGUAACUGUAUAUUUUCCACUCCAGGGUACCGGUGGGCAGAACAAGGAAAGCUGCAGAAAACACACGUUCUCGGCUCGUUUCUCUCUCUCUCUCUUUUUUUUUUUUUUUUUUUUUGCGAUUGCAGGAGCUCUUGGGGCUUGGCUUCCCUUUAGUUCUCAGAUAUGUUCCUCUUGAUUUUGGAGGAAAUUGCACAUCUAAGAGGCCUGACCUUUCUGGUGGGGUUGGGUUACAAAUCUUCUAAGUAUAUAUUCAGUCGUGACUGCAUGAUUGAAUGCUUGUGGACUGUCCAACAUCUGACAGUCUGAUCACCGCUGAGUAGGUCACGUGGGUGGGUUAGGAAGAGGAGGAGUCUGGGAAAGAGCUGUGAUUAAAAAAUGAAACCUGGAGUUCCUGCCGUAGCGCAGUGGUUAACGAAUCCGACUAGGAACCAUGAGGUUGCGGGUUCGGUCCCUGCCCUUGUUCAGUGGGUUAAUGAUCUGGCGUUGCAGUGAGCUGUGGUGUAGGUUGCAGACGCGGCUUGGAUCCCGCGUUGCUGUGGCUCUGGCAUAGGCCAGUGCCUACAGCUCCGAUUCGACCCCUAGCCUGGGAACCUCCAUAUGCCACGAGAGCAGCCCGAGAAAUGGCAAAAAG